Long non-coding RNA from Mytilus trossulus (common blue mussel), 332 nucleotides. RefSeq lists it as uncharacterized. The record is from RefSeq and is a predicted model, not a curated record. NCBI's taxonomy places the organism in Eukaryota, Metazoa, Mollusca, Bivalvia, Mytilida, Mytilidae. The transcript has 3 exons.
AGUGAAUAUUGAAAAUGAAGCGCUUAACAAUUUUUGCUUUGGCCUUUAUUCUUCUUCUGUUCCAUGGAUGCGAUGCCCAAGCUAGAACUGAAGCAAGAAUUAAAUCAUGCCUCAAAAAAUGCCCCAAAAGUAAGUGCAAAGGAUGCUGUAGAGGCAAGGACUACACAUCUGGAUUUUGUGUCUUCAAGUUCUGUGUUUGCUGGAAAAUCGGCACAAGGGGAUAAGGUGGAUGUUAUGGUGAUGAGUGGAGUUUGAUCCAAUGGAAAUGUGUGUCAUUUGGCGACCACAUGCUGAAGAACAGAAUCACAUAUCUAUAAUAUUUUCACAAAGUG